RNAcentral lists this ribosomal RNA (585 nucleotides) under uncultured bacterium. RNAcentral describes it as "bacterial SSU rRNA". It matches the Rfam family "Bacterial small subunit ribosomal RNA", at positions 338 to 917 of the family's 1533-position model. The record is from RNAcentral.
CCUACGGGGAGGCAGCAGUAAGGAAUAUUGGACAAUGGCCGCAAGGCUGAUCCAGCCAUGCCGCGUGCAGGAAGAAGGCCCUAUGGGUCGUAAACUGCUUUUUGAACCAGAGAAAACCCCCACUACGUGUAGUGGGCUGAUAGUAUGGUUAGAAUAAGCAUCGGCUAACUUCGUGCCAGCAGCCGCGGUAAGACGAAGGAUGCAAGCGUUAUCCGGAUUCAUUGGGUUUUAAAAGGGAGCGUAGGCGGACUUGUAAGUCAGUGGUGAAAUCUGUGGGCUUAACCCACAAACUGCCAUUGAUACUGCAGGUCUAGAGUACAGUUGCCGUUGGCGGAAUAUGACAUGUAGUGGUGAAAUACUUAGAUAUGUCAUAGAACACCGAUUGCGAAGGCAGCUAACGAAGCUGUAACUGACGCUGAGGCUCGAAAGUGCGGGGAUCAAACAGGAUUAGAUACCCUGGUAGUCCGCACUGUAAACGAUGAUUACUCGUUGCUGGAAAGCAAUUUUCAGUGACCAAGCGAAAGCGAUAAGUAAUCCACCUGGGGAGUACGCCGGCGAACGGUGAAACUCAAAGGAAUUAGACGG